This is a non-coding RNA of Chelmon rostratus (copperband butterflyfish), 735 nucleotides long. NCBI's taxonomy places the organism in Eukaryota, Metazoa, Chordata, Actinopteri, Chaetodontiformes, Chaetodontidae. The record is from the annotation of a RefSeq genome assembly.
CAGAACAGCAGCUGAAGUUUGCUUUCACCUGCUGCAUUAACCACAUACACACAACCUGUAUUUCACAACGUUUCUCAUUUCUUUGCUGGGACACAAUGCACCUCACCUUUUCAUCAUCUUGGAACAAUGAAUGUUCAUGGAACUGUAGCGUUUGUCUUUUACUGUCAGUGUCCAUACAAUCACACUGUACACUUGACAUUUUCCACUGUCUUCUCCUCUCAGCCUCAUGAACAAUGUUCGUCUAAUGGCUUCAUUUUCUCCACUUUUUCCAGGACCAACAGCUGGAGACAAAAUCUCUCCUGAACGAGAUGAAGUCAGUGGAAGAGAAGGAGAAUCUGUCACACUCACAUGUCGAUAUGAGACAACUUACAGGUGUCAGCUGUGAAGACCUCAGUCCAGUCAACAAUGAAGAGUCCAGUUUAGAAGACAGCACUGUUACUCUGUCCUACAAAUACUCCAAACAAGCAGCUGUUGGUGAUUCUUUCUUCUGGUAUCGACAAUAUCCAGGAAAACCACCAGAGUUCCUCAUCUCUCACUACGGAACAGGAACAGUAAUAUCUAAUCCAGUCUCCAGACUGACUGUGAAAGUGAGUGAGGAUCAAACCCAAAUGGAUCUGCAGAUCUCCUCUGCUGCAGUGACUGACUCUGCUCUGUACUACUGUGCUGUGAGGCCCACAGUGACAGCAAACCCACAGUCUCUGUACAAAAACACAAGCUGACACACUGACGAGCUGC